Molecule: ribosomal RNA, 454 nt
Filed under: uncultured Prevotella sp.
Lineage: Bacteria; Pseudomonadati; Bacteroidota; Bacteroidia; Bacteroidales; Prevotellaceae
Description: partial 16S ribosomal RNA
Rfam family: Bacterial small subunit ribosomal RNA
Source: RNAcentral
ACGGGAGGCAGCAGUGAGGAAUAUUGGUCAAUGGACGAGAGUCUGAACCAGCCAAGUAGCGUGCAGGAUGACGGCCCUAUGGGUUGUAAACUGCUUUUGUACGGGAAUAAAGUGACCUACGUGUAGGUUUUUGCAUGUACCGUAAGAAUAAGGACCGGCUAAUUCCGUGCCAGCAGCCGCGGUAAUACGGAAGGUCCGGGCGUUAUCCGGAUUUAUUGGGUUUAAAGGGUGCGCAGGCGGGAUGUCAAGUCAGUGGUGAAAUGGUGCGGCUCAACCGUAGCAUUGCCGUUGAAACUGGCGUCCUUGAGUGCGAAUGAGGUACGCGGAACGUGUCAUGUAGCGGUGAAAUGCAUAGAUAUGACACAGAACACCGAUUGCGAAGGCAGCGUACUGGGACGCGACUGACGCUGAGGCACGAAAGUGCGGGGAUCGAACAGGAUUAGAUACCCUGGUA